GACGAACGCUGGCGGCGUGCUUAACACAUGCAAGUCGAACGGAAAGGCCCUGCUUUUGUGGGGUGCUCGAGUGGCGAACGGGUGAGUAACACGUGAGUAACCUGCCCUUGACUUUGGGAUAACUUCAGGAAACUGGGGCUAAUACCGGAUAGGAGCUCCUGCUGCAUGGUGGGGGUUGGAAAGUUUCGGCGGUUGGGGAUGGACUCGCGGCUUAUCAGCUUGUUGGUGGGGUAGUGGCUUACAAAGCCUUUGACGGGUAGCCGGCCUGAGAGGGUGACCGGCCACAUGGGGACUGAGAUACGGCCCAGACGCGUACGGGAGGCAGCAGUGGGGAAUAUGGCACAAUGGGCGGAAGCCUGAUGCAGCAACGCCGCGUGCGGGAUGACGGCCUUCGGGUGGUAAACCGCUGUCGCCUGUGACGAAGCGUGAGUGACGGUAAUGGGUAAAGAAGCACCGGCUAACUACGUG
RNAcentral lists this ribosomal RNA (468 nucleotides) under uncultured bacterium. Its description in RNAcentral is "partial 16S ribosomal RNA". It matches the Rfam family "Bacterial small subunit ribosomal RNA", at positions 28 to 507 of the family's 1533-position model. The record is from RNAcentral.